UACGUAGGGUGCGAGCGUUGUCCGGAAUUAUUGGGCGUAAAGAGCUUGUAGGCGGUUUGUCGCGUCUGCUGUGAAAAUCCGGGGCUCAACCCCGGACUUGCAGUUGGUACGGGCAGACUAGAGUGUGGUAGGGGAGACUGGAAUUCCUGGUGUAGCGGUGAAAUGCGCAGAUAUCAGGAGGAACACCGAUGGCGAAGGCAGGUCUCUGGGCCACUACUGACGCUGAGAAGCGAAAGCAUGGGGAGCGAACAGGAUUAGAUA
This 261-nucleotide ribosomal RNA is filed under the name uncultured prokaryote. RNAcentral's name for it is "partial 16S ribosomal RNA". It matches the Rfam family "Bacterial small subunit ribosomal RNA", at positions 524 to 784 of the family's 1533-position model. The record is from RNAcentral.